Molecule: ribosomal RNA, 517 nt
Filed under: uncultured archaeon
Lineage: Archaea
Description: bacterial SSU rRNA
Rfam family: Archaeal small subunit ribosomal RNA
Source: RNAcentral
GAAGUGUGACUNGGGGACUCCAGUGCUCAUGUACUGCAUGAGCUUUUGCCAAAGGUAAGUACUUUGGCGAAUAAGCGGUGGGAAAGACUGGUGCCAGCCGCCGCGGUAACACCAGCGCCGCAAGUGGGGACCGUUUUUAUUGGGCCUAAAGCGUUCGUAGCCGGCCGAGUAAAUCUCCUGUGAAAUCGUUGUGCUUAACAUAACGGCGUGCAGGGGACACUGCUUGGCUUGGGACCGGGAGGCGUGUGAGGUAUUCUGGGGGUAGCGGUAAAAUGCGAUAAUCCCUAGAGGACCACCUGUGGCGAAGGCGUCACACGAGGACGGAUCCGACGGUGAGGGACGAAAGCUAGGGGAGCAAACCGGAUUAGAUACCCGAGUAGUCCUAGCAGUAAACGCUGCGAGCCAGGUGUUGCGCAUUCUACGGGAGUGUGCAGUGUCGAAAAGAAGUUGUUAAGCUCGCCGCCUGGGAAGUACGGUCGCAAGGCUGAAACUUAAAGGAAUUGGCGGGGGGAGCACA